RNA transcript from Mytilus californianus (California mussel), 13644 nucleotides. It is a transcript of the gene named E3 ubiquitin-protein ligase DZIP3-like, with no coding region annotated. Lineage: Eukaryota; Metazoa; Mollusca; Bivalvia; Mytilida; Mytilidae. The record is from RefSeq and is a predicted model, not a curated record. The transcript is spliced from 6 exons.
AUAGGUUUUUUUUGAAAGAAUAUUAUGUGGAAAAAUUAAUGUUUACUCGGUGGCUUUUUCAUUUCUAUAAUUCAAUGCAAUGAACUGGAUAGAGAUCACUUCUUCUGCUACAGUGAAGAUGAUCGUAUAGCAAGAUGGCAACUUCUUUAACUGAGGAGGAAACAUACUAUCUCAGAUUAGUGUCCUUGACAAUAGGUGUUGCGCCACAAGCUGUUCGUGAUUAUUUCGACAGUGUUUUUCCACCGAUUGAUCUUGCAACAGAGCUACAGAACAAGAAGAAGACACUAAAACACCUGCGGUUUUCUUUAAAGGUUUUGACAUCAGCACAAUGGUCUACUCUUUUUCCGACAGGUUCUGCAAAUGUAUCCUCAAAAGAUUUUGAUCUAACUUUAAUGAUAUGUCUGUUGAGAAAUGUAUCUGGUAUGGCACCACCUGCCUUUGGUUUUGACGUUCUUCCAUCUUCAACAGACAUAAGUGAAGCAGAUGACCUUGCUCGAAUGAAAUUUUUUCGAAAUAAAAUUGCACACUCUGACAAUGGAACACUUCCGAAAGCAGACUUCCUUGCGGCAUGGGAUAAUGUUAGCCAGGCUACAGAACGGCUUGGAGGAUUGGCUUAUAAACAAGUCUGUUUGGAUUUGAAAGGCGCAAAUCUUGACAGUUCAUCUUACACUGAUAUAUUACUGAAUAUUAGACAAGCACAAGAUGAAAAGAUAAAAGAUUUAGCAGACAAAAUAGAGAAUGUGUUAACGGAGACCCAAAAACCUAAACAGUCUUUCACAGAUCCAGUACCUUCAGCCUUAAGAGGUCUGUUUCAAAGUAAAAUCGCUUUGUGGGAGAAAAACGAUACAAUAUUUGAAGAAUCAAACUGUUCAAAACAGCUUCUAAAAAUGAUCAAGGAAAACAAUAUUGUCACCAUUACAGGCAACCCAGGUAUGGGGAAAAGUCUUUCAAUGAGACAUACCGCCUUGCAAAUGAAGUUAGAAGGAUAUGACAUAUUACCUAUUACAGAUCCAAAAGACAUAUUAACGUUUACAAUGCCAUAUAAUAAAGCACUCUACGUUAUUGACGAUAUUUGUGGUAAAUACAAUGUUGUUCAACAUUUGAUAGAAGUUUGGGAACUCUAUAGUCCUGAAAUCAAAGAAAUCAUUACAACCUCGAAAAGUAAAAUUUUAUCCAUUGUAGACUUCAAGUCUUCCAAAGCAAACAGUUUCAGAGUUUAGAUUUUUUAACAGAGACACAUUUUAAUUUUUUGUCAGUAGAAUAUUCUUUAACGACUGAAGAGAAAAGGUGUAUAGCAAAGAAGUAUUUACAAGAAGAUUUUGCAACAACAUUACCAGAGGAUGUUAUUGAACAGUAUGAUUGUUUUCCGCUUUUAUGUUCUUUAUUGUCCGAUACUGAAGACGACGAAAAAGCAAACACAUUCUUGAAAAGUCCAUACGAGGUAUUUGAAAAUGAACUAGAACAGCUGUAUGAAAAUGCUGAUCGACUAAUGUAUUGUUCGUUGGCCAUAGUUGUAAUAUUUAAUAACAGGUUAUGUGCAUCUAUGCUGCUUCAUUCGGUUGAUAAUUGUGAUAACGAAAUAUUUGAAGAUAUUUUCGAAGCAUGUGGUGAAUCGAAAACUAGCUCAAGAGAUCAUGUGAUCGAACAUUUAGAAUCCCUGAAUAGCUCAUAUAUAUUAAAACAUGACACAUUUUACAGCUACAUACAUCAUAAAUUAUUUGAAAUCGCUGCAUUUUAUUUUGCUAAGAAACCACUGCUUCUAAAUUGCAUGCUUAAGCACUGUUGUGCGACUUUUCUUUGUGAACGAUUUAUAUUUCAGUCUUUUUCCGGUGGAAAGCACGAAUUCCAAAUCAUCUUGCCUCAAAAUCUAGUAAAAAUAUUUUUUGAUAAGUUGUUAAAAGGCGUAAAUGUUGAUAAUGUUUUCGACAUUUUUGGCUGCGAGCUAAUGACCUAUGUAGAAUACAGGACAAGUCUUAUUUCUUAUAUGAAAACAUUAGAUAAGGAAAUAAAAGCUAAUCUACUACGUUUAUCUCGGGCUGGAUUAACCAUUGUCCAUCUCAUGUGUAAACUUGGAUAUACAGAUAUUAUUCGUUUUUGUAUAGAUGAAGGAAUUAAACCAAACAGCUAUCAAGAUAUAGGAGUCACUCCUCUUCACACAGCAUGUAAAUAUGAGAAGGAAGAAGUAGUAGAUAUGCUACUCAAAUUUGGUGUAAAUGCAAACAAAUAUAAAAGUGCCGGAUACACUCCGUUAUAUGAAGCAUGCAAAUCUGGGAAAACAAAUGUAGUGGAGAAACUUUUAAGGUAUGGGGCAAAUCCUUCUUUAUGUAGCGACAAUAGGUUAAUUCCAUUGUUAAUUGCCACUGAAAAUGAGCAUACGAAAAUUGUGCAUCUUCUUUUGAGAUACAGAGCUGAUGUGAACCAACAAGAUGGAGACCUAAAAUCAGCUUUACAUAUAUCCUGUAUGACUGGCAACGUUGAAAUAUUAAACUUUCUCAUCAGGUAUGGAGCAGAUGUUGAUAUUAAGACGACGAACGGAGAAACUCCUUUAUAUUUUGCUUGUGAAAAAUUACAUAUUAGCAUCAUCAAGUUGUUACUGGUAGAAAAUGCAGAUGUAUUCCAAUUCUCAACAAGGACAGGCUUUUCACCUCUCUCAGUGUUGUUAAAAAAAGACAAAAACGAACUGGGAACGGAUAUUUUAAAUCAUGUUUCAAAUAAAACCCGUUUGUAUAUUGCAUUUGAAAACGCACUAGAGAACAACGAUGUGAAGCUUGUAGACAUUCUAUUAAAAUCUGAUCUAUCUGUCAAUAAUACAUUAUCAUCAGGAAACAAAGCGCUUCACGUAGCUUGCAACUAUGGGAAUCUUUGUUUCGUAAAGAAGCUUCUUGAUUGCGGAGCAAGUAUUAAUUGUCGAAACGCAAAUUACGUUCAACCAAUACAGAUAGCAUGUCAAAGAGAACAUGAAGAUAUUGUGUCGUUAUUGGUUUCAAAAGGUGCAAAUGUAAAUGAUACUAGCACAAAGUGUGCUAUGCCCCCUCCACUCCACAUUUCAUGCAUAGUGAGAAAUGAAGAAAUAGCUUCAAUUCUUGUAAAUGGAAACGCAGAUCUGAAUGAAACAACAACAUUAACUCUUAGUUCAAUGUAUGAAUUCCGUAACCAGACCUAUAUCAAUAAACUUUUUAGUACUGUGGACCAAAACGUGAAAGGCAAUGUCACCCCAAUCGAAAUAAUAUGCAUGGAGAGAGAUUCGGGUUUGUUGCGUUUUUUUCUGGAAAACAGUGCAGAUCCAAAUAUGAAAACUGAUUUGUACGGAAUUCAUCCACUUUUGAUAGCUUGUUUUUAUAAACAAUCCGAAAUGAUUGAUAUGUUAUUGCAUCAUUGCUCAAAUGUUAAUAUAUGUGGAAGUAUAGAUAAUUUAUGCUUAACAAAUAUUAUGUGCAAUGACGACGAAGACAUUAUUGAGCUUAUUGCAUAUAGGCGGAAGAAAGUAACAUUAUCUACUUUCACGCCUUUGCAUAUUUCUUGCUUAAAAGGGGAUGAUUCUGCUGUGUCUUCAAUACUACAAUCCCGCGCAAGGACUGACAUUGCUACUCCUGUGUCACCUUUUGUGAUAUAUACCUUAAACUGUAAACGAUUGUUGAAGUUGGACUUUCAAGCUGCCAUUUAUUAUUUAAGCAAGUAUAGUGAGAUUAAAGACGUUCUUCCUAUACAUCUUGCAUGUUUUGGUGGAUAUCCUAACAUAGUCAAAUUGGUAAUUGAUCGUAUGAAUGUAAUGCCUGGCAAUUUAUCGUUACAAGUGAGCGCUUUUCAAGUUGCGUCGUUACAUGGGAAAUUUUACAAACGUAGAUUUGAAAUAGAAACACGAUGUUACAGCUUAAAUCCUUUGCAAAUUGCAUGUCUGGAAAGACAUUGGGAUAUAUGUAAAGUGUUAUUAGACAAAGGCUAUAAUGCAUAUUCGACAUUUUAUGUAUCCGACUUUUUUAUAUCUUGUUUUGAAAUCAGCAGUGCCAUAAUCCCAACGGAAUAUAAUACAAAAGUUUAUAAAACCUCCGUUAUAAAAUGUAUGUAUGAAAAUAAGGUUUAUGAUCUUAUCAAACACGUUCUGAAUUUAACAGAAGAUUUGGAAAAACCCACCGAUUGUGUUCUUCAUGCAUUAUUAACCUCUGCGUGCACAAAUGGUGAUCUUGAACUUGCUAAAACUAUUCUAGAGAGAUUUUCAAAUAUAGAUGAUGGGCAACCUGUUUCGUCCCUUCAUGCUGCAUGUGAACACAACAUGAUUGAGAUAGUCGAUUUUAUUUUGUCGACGAACCCUAAGAUGGACCAAAUUAAUGAACAUUUGGGUACACCUCUUCAUAUUGCCAGUAGGAGAGGGUAUGAAAGAAUUUUACAUUUACUACUCAAAAACGGUGCUAGUCCGUUUGCAUUGACGCGAACAGGAGAAAACGCCUAUCACUUAGCUUGUAAGCAUAACCAUGUUGACUGUUUUUCUCUUCUACAGCAGUUUACGGAUGAGCACAUUUACUCUAUAUACACCGAUAAUGUCCAUUUCACUAAUAUAUAUACAUCGGAAAAGAAAACGACAACUUAUUUUGCCUAUUUAAACAGAAAUGGAAUACUUCUAUCAAUACUUCUGAAUAAUUGUGCAGAUAUUAAUUUGCCUUUAGGUGAGGAUAACGAAACGUUACUUUUAAUUGCUUGUAAGGAAAGCCGUGUCGAAUAUGUUGACUUCUUCUUGAAAAGAUCGGCUGACGUCAAUGUAACAAACAUUAACGGAGAAACACCACUGUUAAUUGCAUGUGCAAACGGAUAUGACCCCAUAAUAAGGCAGUUAUUAGAGACAAACGCUUCUGUGAAUAUUCAAGGAAAUAAUGGAUACUGCCCAUUAUAUUUUUCUAACAACAAUAACUCUGAAAUAACAGAACUGUUAUUAAAGAAAAACGCAAAUCCAAACUGUUUAUUACACAAUGGAACAGAAAAUUUAUUAAUAAAUGCAGUAAAACGUAAAAGUUAUAACGCAGUUGAGCUUUUACUAAAAUAUGGUGCUGACGUGAACUUCAGCUAUAGUCCCGGACAACCGGCAUUAUUUUUUGCAUUUGAAAAUGGUGAUACGAAGAUGAUGAAAUGUCUACUAAGAUAUAAUGCAGACAGUAAUGUUUGUUCACACGAACGAUCAAAGUACUUAUAUCAAGCCUGUGUUAGAGGAAUGGUUGACAUUGUAGAACUUAUUAUGUUUCAUGAUUGUACCUUGGAUCCAAAUGAUGUGCAGACUAAUGGAGAAACAUCAUUGUUUGCGUGCUAUAAAGCUAUGAACAAAAGUAAUAUUGAGACUGUUACUCGUCAUUUAAAAAUAGGACGUUUGCUAAUGAGAUUUGGGGCCGAUAUCAAUACAAAAACUACUGAUAAUGAUGCACCUUUUAACCAGUUAUGUUUGAAUGGUACACUCGCUGAAGUUGAGUACAUAUUAGAGAAUAACAGUGUGAGCCAAGACCUAAUUAUGAAAGAAAUACAGGAUCCCCGUAUACAAGGGAGGUAUACGCUCUUAACAUUAUUAAUAUUUUACUUUCGCAAACCGAUCCUGACAGAUUUGUUUUAUGACAUUUGGUUCGAUGCUGUUGAAAACGCUCAGUUAGAAAUUAUAAAUUUAUUAAUUGAGAAGGGAGUUGACACUAAUAUGAUUCGUCACACGGACAAACAUUGUGCACUGCAUAUAGCGAGUGAAAUGGGGAAUAUAGGCGCUGUAAAAAGCAUAUUGAAACAAUUUAAUACUAUACCAAAUAUGAAAUCCGCUUCAGGCCAUACUCCCUUGCAAGUAGCGUGCCUCAAUAGUCAAGUUGAAAUAUAUGAAUCACUAGUCAAAAGUGAAGCUAAAAUAACAGACAAAACAGCUGACGGAACCGACAAAAACAUUCAUUUUGCUUGCAGAUAUAUGGAUAAUUAUCUUCUUGCACAGCUCUGUACUACAAAAAGCAAUUUAUACUGCGUGAAUGAAAAUGGUUUGACUCCUUUGAUAAUAUCAAUUUGUAUGGGUGACUUGAGAAACGUAGAUGUUUUGUUAAAUCAUGGUGCACCUGUAGACCAGGACACUUUAAUUUAUUACAAAGAAGUCGAGGAAUUGUUUGGAACAUCAAGCAUUUGUAUGACACGUGCAACGCCCCUCCAUAUUGCAUGCUGGAAAGACGAUUUUCGAAUUGUUCAACAGGUUCUCGCUGGAAAUGCUACCUGUAGUUUGUUAAUGCACAACUAUUACAAUUUGUCAGCUGACGAAAAAGAAUGUGACAAGUUAUCACCAUUAUGCAUAUCAGUUUUACGAAAUAAUUAUAGUACAGUAACAUUACUCCUACAGGGUAUACCAAAUUCAGAUCUCCAUAUAGAGAAUUCUAUGUUUACGUCCUCGUUAUUUAACCAGGGAAAUAAAAGUAGCAAAGAAUGCUAUAUGGAUAACAAAACUUACCUAACACCAUUUCAAGCAGCAUGUAUUUUAGGUUAUGUUGACAUCGCUGAAGAGUUGUUAGAAAAUCACGUUGAUGUUAAUCAGAGGUUUAAAGUAACUCCAAUAAUUCUUUCGAUUUGUGCUAGGAACCAUGUUCUGAUGCAGAAAUUUCUUUCUUCCAACGGUUUCAUUGACAAGAACUUUGAAAUUGAGGUUACUCCGUUAAUAUUUUCCGUUCUUGUUGAAAACUUGGAAUUACUUAAGAUGUUGCUAUCUAACUAUGCAGAUCAUGAAUCCGAGGUAACAAUUUGUUUGUUACAUGUGAUUCCAUUUCACGAAGAUAUCCUCAAUGUGCUGACUAGCGAAUCUUUAGAUUUAGAACAGCUUUUGCUGUCUGAAUGCACAAUGAAUCCAUUUCUCAUUGCUUGUUUAAAAGGCAAUAAUGAUAUGUGUCGCCUGUUUUUUUCGAAGUAUGCUGAUCCGCUUUAUGCAACACAACUGACAGCCAUGCAUGUCAUUUGCUUUAAAGGCUAUGAUAAACAUCUUAAAAUUAUGAUAGAAGAACGUCUACAACUAAGCAGGUACUUUCGAAUUCAGUGCAGUCAUUUUAUAGCAAUAGGAAAUCUUGUUGAAAUAAAUGAUGAACUUGUUACAUUAUCUACUGGGUGUAAUGAUGUAUUGCAUAUUUCUAAUCUAGAACUGGCAUGUAUGGAUGAAGACGUGUAUAUUCUAAAGCACAUUCUGGAUAUUUUGCCUGAAAAAAGUUAUAAUAGUGUAAUGAAAAUAACACCACUACUUUUAUCAUAUUUGUUCGAAAAUUGUGCCCAACUUGGAAUAGGCAUAUUUUUGUCUAAUGCCGAUUUGUGCAGUUGUAUAUCUUAUAAUCUGAUGAUUUCUUUGUUUUUUUAUAAACGAUACGGAGACACAGGUCAGCAUUCGAAAAAAAUUACAUUCGAUGAUAGCAUUCAGUUAAGUGACUUGAGUUUGCUUUUAAAAUUUUGUUGCGCGGGUACUUCAGCUAUAUAUGAAUUUAGUGAUAUGUUUGAAGCAUCUGAUACAGCUUCCGUCGGUAAAAUUAUUAAAGACCGAUUAACUUGUUGUGAAGAAAAUUUAUUGACCUCAUUUUUGCUAGAUUUUAAUGAAAACAAAGAUGAUGAAACAACAGUUUUAGAAUUACUACAACACACUGAUGUUUGCAAAAAGAUGUUUAUAGUAAAUUGUGCAUACCUACUUUUGUUUAGAAAUAGCAGGCUUGACUCACUGCCAUUGUCAGCAUACAGUGAACUAUCACAUGAACCACUAUCAUUCACGGCAGUUGAAGCUUUUCACUUAAUUCAACGACGAAUUCCGCAUUGUUUUCUAUCAUCAACUGAAGCAAAAUAUAGGUCACUUAAAAUUAGUCCACUCAUGAUAGCUUGCUUACACGAAAACAUGGUAAAUGUCGAAUUUAUUUUGCAGAAAAGGUUUGCUAUCAGUCAAACAAAUGAGUUGAGCCUUCUGCUUCUGGCUGGAUUUCGGGACUACAAAUAUGGAAACACAUUAAAUACGAUUGUUUCUAGUAAAAACAUCGAUGCGAAAAUAAAUGCAUUGCACGCUGCAAUUAUCAUGGGGAACAUUGAAAUGACAAGAAUGCUUCUGGCAUAUGGCUGUUGUGUAAAUACUUCAGCAUUUCUAACACCUAUACAUAUUCCUGUAAUUCAAAAAGAAAUGUCUGAAUUUAGUUUUGAUGAUCAAUACGAUCUAACAAUAUUUCAUGAUGUAGCUACUGAAGAAGAUAGAAUAAACUGUAUGAUUGUACCAUUAGAAAUAAACCCUAUACACUUAGCAUGCUUUCGUGAGAAUAGUACUGAUUUUGUGAGAUUAUUGGCAGGGAGACAAUGUACUUUACUAUCAACUGCAAAGCUGUCGACACUGGGCUUUUACAUGUUAGGAACAUCACUCGAAUACUCUAAUUUUUCGUUAAAACAUAACACGUUAGAGGCUUUUUCCGAAUUAACACCUUUGAACAUUGGAAGUUUGAUUAAUAAUGCUCAUCUCGUUGAAAUCCUACUGAGUAAGCAAAACAAAAUUGAUUCUGUGGCAUCUGUUUUCCCUCUUCAUAUGAAUACCAGUCACUGUUCAGACAUCGUUGAUCUAAUUACAAACCAAUCCGUAUUCAUGUAAACAUCACUUAACAUGGCACUUUUAAAUCAAAAUUCUGAUAUUGUUGAUCUAUUAAUUAAAAACGGAGCAAAUGUGGAUAUGUCAACAUCAUUAUUUAUGGAAAUAAGCAUUGACGAUAUGUUCAUCUCUACCUACUCUACUCUGAAGGCUAUUCAUUUAGCAGGUAUUGUAGAUGAGGAUCACAAUUUUAGAACCAUUCUUUCAAAAACCAAAUCUAUUAAUGAGAAAUGUGCAAUUUCUGUGUGGCAUUUAUGUUAUCUGGAAGCAAUUAAUGGUGUAAAAAUGUACCAAGCAUUUGACCGGGAAAUAGAACUCCAUCUCAGCGCUUUACAUAUAUGUUGUAUAACUAGAGAUUGUGCCCGUGUAGAAAUGCUACUAAAGUCGGGAGCAAAUUGCAACAUACCAGCAGAAAUUCCAUUCGUUUACACAAAAUUUAAAUCUGCAAUUCGUUUGUCCAAAUAUCCUUUACAUUUAGCUGCAGAGAGUGGUAAUUUAGAUAUGUGUGUUUUAUUGCUGAAGUAUAGCGCAGACAACGAAGUGAAGACAAACGUUAUAGGAUUCAAACCAUGGCAGUUAGCGUUAUACCAUGGACAUGCUGAUGUAUUGGAAUGUCUUGUUACCGUGCGUACAAGCAUAAAUAAAUCUUCAUUUAUGUUUACUUUGCUCUUACAUUUAAUACGAACCUGUUUUGGAAAAACUGUUCUUAAGUUUUUCGCAAAGUCGAAAUAUGCCAUUGUGCUUCUGUCAUUUUAUAGAUAUUUGAUGAAUGUGCUUGGAUUUUGUUUCGUGUAAAGAAAUUUCAUCGGAAAUAAUAUCGUUUUAGUAACUUUUUGAAAGCGAAUGACAUAAAUAGCUGAAGAAUUAAUCCGACCAUAUAACUGGAAAUUUAUCUGUGACAUGUGUUAUCAUUUCUGAAAUGAUAAUUUGGUUCGUUGAGAUGAACAUGUGCAUUUAAAUUUUGUUGACGUUUAUACCUACCGGUAAUUUAACCAACGACCACGUAUUGAUUAUAAACACAGGUGUACUGUGGUCGUUACUUUAAAGAAGAAGUAGAUAAUUUCACGGGUGUCAUUCGGUAUAUCGAAAAAAUGAACGGGAAAGAAUAAGUAACGGUGGUCAAGUAUUGCGAUAGGAUCGUGAAAGUUCUAAAAUCGGAUCCUGAAUGAAAUCUUAUCGAGAAGACACUUGCAAGGUCAAAAGAUAAAUUAAAUGAUAUGUUGAAUCAUAAAGACAAAUUUUGAAAAAAAAAAUGAAACUGUCUGUCAAGAUAGUUCGACAUUAUGACCAGUAUCUGAGAAAAUCAGUCUUAAAUAUUAUCGUUUUUACAAAACUGCAAAAGGCAGAUUGCUCUUCAACAUUUCAAAAGACAUAAGAAAAGUAAACAAACAUGAUUUUUUUCCUGAUAUGAAUGACUAAAUUACUUUUUUUCUGAACAAUGUCGUCCUAUAGUAAUGUUUUAAGUGAUCUCGGUAUUAUUUUGAAGUACCUUCAUCAGAAAUUUGUUAAAAUUGGCAUAUUUGUAUAAAUUUGAUAUUGAUGAUCGUGAAAGAUCAGUACAACUUUUUUUAACUCGUGAAAAGGAUCGUGAGAGAUCCGUUGUCGCUUAUUAGUAAUUGCACAAAUUAUUGAAAGUGUUCAAAUCAUUUUGUAAUUAUAUGAAAAUUUAUUAUGUAACUGGUACAGCAAAAUACCGAACUUCCGUGACUUUUUCCGCUUCUUUUUUUGUUAGGGAAUCAUCUGUUAGGCUAUGAUCUUUCAAUUCCAUUUUGUCUGUUUUAUACUAAGACCAUUCUUCAACAUUUUAUGUGGUUAUCAUAAGUCAAGAAUUCCUCAUCCGAUUUCAAUAAUGUUAUAAUAUAUCUAUAAGAGGAAGAUCAUUUUCGAUUUUUUAUUUUGCUUUUUUAAAGGGGGGACAUUUAAGUUUAAAAAAAUUGCAAAUUUUGAGAACUAUCUGUUUUAGUUAGAAUUUCAAUAGACAAUCAUAAUCGACUACGGGGAUUUCCAAUUUACGGCAUGUACAAAUUGGGGUAAAAUGUGGUAAAAAGUUAUUGUUUCUUUCGUGUUAGAAUUAAUAUGCCAUUAUUAAUUUGUUCUAGAUAUCAAAAAUUAUCCGUCGGCUGCAGUUUUCGAUAUGAUUGUCAAGUUGUAUGAACAAUUUCACAGAAUAAAUCUUAUAUAUUAAAAGAACAUAUUUAAAAGUUGGGUAAUAUCAGGGGGUGGACAAACAAAAAAAAAACUACAAACUUCAAAGAAAUAAGAAAACAGGUAAUUUGGAAAAACAAUCUGAUUAAUUUUGAAAAUAAAACCACUAUUUUUGAAAAAUGGAUAAAGAGUAACUUGAUAUUUGUUAAUGAUAUUAUAGAUGACACAGGUGCUAUAUCUCAACAUUUUAUUUUGGAAACAUUAGUCUGUAAGAUAGGCAGAAAUAAAUAUUGUGAAAAAAGCCAUCCCAAAAGAUUUGCUUCAGAUGCUAAAGUCUGAAAAUUCUAUUAAGAGUAUUGUAAAUAUUCAUGGAAAGGCAAUUAAAUUGAGGCUUCAAAUUUGUAAAGAUAAAACUGAACCCGCAAUUGAUGUUAGCAAAUUGAUGCGUAUUUUACAAAUUAAUGAGCAUCCUAGUAUAAAUAAAUUAUGUUUUUUCGUGUUUCUUUAUGUAGAAGAGAAAAAGUUAUAAGUCUAAAUUGAAAACAACGUUCAAACCUAUGAUUGCGUUGGAUAAAAACCGCAUUUUUUAUACGUGUGCAUGCAAAACAAAUUUCUUGGUAGAUGGGGUCUAAAUACAGCACAAACAACAUUUUCCAAAAGACCAAAAUAGUGAAAAAGUAUAUUUUAACAAAACAAAUUUGACUAGCAGGUCGAACAACGGAUGUUCUUAAACUCUGCUGACUGCCAUUGGCGAUUGCCAAAUAAACGGAUAACUAGAUGUAACAAAAUGAAUCUUAACUAUAUAUAUAAGUCUAAAUUGAAAACAACGUUCAAACCUAUGAUUGCGUUGGAAAAAACCGCAAUUUUUAUACGUGUGCAUGCAAAACAAAUUUCUUGGUAGAGGGUCUAAAUACAGCACAAACAACAUUUUCCAAAAGACCAAAAUAGUGAAAAAGUAUAUUUUAACAGAACGCAUUUGACUAGCAGGUCGAACAACGGAUGUUCUUAAACUCUGCUGACUGCCAUUGGCGAUUGCCAAAUAAUCGGGUCACUAGAUGUAACAAAAUGGAUCUUAACUAUAUAUACAAGUCUAAAUUGAAAACAACGUUCAAACCUAUGAUUGCGUUGGAUAAAAACCGCAAUUUUUAUACGUGUGCAUGUAAAACAAAUUUCUUGGUAGAGGGGUCUAAAUACAGCACAAACAACAUUUUCCAAAAGACCAAAAAAGUGAAAAGUAUAUUUUAACAAAUCGCAUUUGACUAACAGGUCGAACAACUGAUGUUCUUAAACCCUGCUGACUGCCAUUAACGAUUGCCAAAUAAAUUGAUCACGAGAUGUAACAUGGAUCUUAAUUAUUAAUUUAAUAACAAACAGAAAACAAUAAACUUGCGGAGAACAUGGUAUACCGCAAACAUGAGGUGCAAAAAUUUGUACACCAUAUCCGGAUUUCGACAAUUAAUGUCUCUUCAGUGAUGUUAGGGAUCGAAACGGUAUUUGGACGGCCAUAUAAUUUACCUCAAUUUAGGAUAUAUCGGCUUUAUCUAGGGUUGUAACACAGAACAUGAUGUAAAAUGGCAAGUAGUUGGUAUACCUUGCAGGAAAACUUCUAUUUGAUUUGUGGAUGCUACAAAAGUAAUAUAGAAGAAACAACGAGUAAAGAAUGGCGGAAUUGUAGAUACUUAAAAUACAUAAAAUAGAAUAUGGGUACUGAAUUCUCAAAAUGACAUUGAAUAAUUAAUUGAAUCUACUGUCCAUCAUAGAAAGUAGCCAUUCAUGUUUCACCACAAUUUUGAUACUGCAGCUGUCACUGUAAAUCAACUAAUUUUCAUGAUCUAUUUUUAUUCGCGGCCUUCAAGAGUGUCAAAAUAACGCAAAUAUAUAACACAACGAAAAUGAUGUUCUUGGACCUUCUUUUAUCGGAAAGCAUCCACAAUCUUGGCAAGUUGCAACAAUAAAUCACCAUGACGAUGGCUAGAAUAUGAUAAUUUAAGGCAACAGUAGUUUUCCAAUGUUCGCUCGAACAUGCAAAUCAAGAUUAAAACCAAGCUUGAGGGAAUCGCGUGUACUCCUUCAGAAUCGAUACCGGGUGCUUCGAAAUGGUAAUCGUAAUUGUGUUGCAUGUGUCAUAUUCUAUGCGAAUCCACACUUAUCAAAAAUGUUACAAUAGGGAAUAGGACACAUUCGACUUUCUCUGGUACUAGUAUCUAAAGAUAAAAAAUUGCUUAAACUUGUCAGCAGUGAUUUGAGAGACCAACUUGAAAAAAGUAUUCGGGAAAGUAAUACUUCUGAUAACAAAUGAAUUAUAAGAAGUAUGCAAAAUCUAUCUUUUUUAUUUAGAGCAAACAACGCAGUAUAAUUCAAGUUUGUCAUGAUAAGGUGGACAAGGAAGUGAACCACAUUUGGUACCAACCAUAUAAAGGAGAUGACCAUUGUCGUUGCGCUCUCCACUCGGAAUGUAUUCCGGUUGACCGUCAACGCAGAUGAAUGAAGAUGCUUUGCAAUUAUAACAUCCUGAGGCUAAAUAUCCCAUAUACUCCAUUUGCCAUCCAGCGUAACACGUUUUACGCCCGGGGAUCAUUAAUGAAGAGAAUCUGUUUGGAUUACGACAUACUGCACAUGGUACAUCUUCAUUCGCAGAGUUGGACGCAAAGGAGUUUUCCUCGUACCAUAUAUUAAUGUAUUUCCAGGGGAAGUGCGAUUAGUGAGUUCAGGGUCGGAAGGGAGACACAGCAUAUUAGACGGCCCUCCAUAUACAGAACCUUGACUAUAAACGUUGCCAGCAGCAUUACCUAAAGCAUAAUUGAAAACAAUAUUUAAAAAUAUAAAGUCAUUGUCCCAGCAAGAUGGAUAACUAAGUAAGGACAGCGCUAUAAAUAGCCAAAAUCUAGAUAUUUAUAAAACGUUUUAUAUUA